AACGCUGGCGGCGUGCCUAAUACAUGCAAGUGGGACGCAAGGAAACACACUGUGCUUGCACACCGUGUUUUCUUGAGUCGCGAACGGGUGAGUAACGCGUAGGUAACCUGCCUAUUAGCGGGGGAUAACUAUUGGAAACGAUAGCUAAUACCGCAUAAUAUUAAUUAUUGCAUGAUAAUUGAUUGAAAGAUGCAAGCGCAUCACUAGUAGAUGGACCUGCGUUGUAUUAGCUAGUUGGUAAGGUAAGAGCUUACCAAGGCGACGAUACAUAGCCGACCUGAGAGGGUGAUCGGCCACACUGGGACUGAGACACGGCCCAGACUCCUACGGGGGGCAGCAGUAGGGAAUCUUCGGCAAUGGACGAAAGUCUGACCAGCAACGCCGCGUGAGUGAAGAAGGUUUUCGGAUCGUAAAGCUCUGUUGUAAGUCAAGAACGUGUGUGAGAGUGGAAACGU
RNAcentral lists this ribosomal RNA (455 nucleotides) under Streptococcus mutans. RNAcentral describes it as "bacterial SSU rRNA". It matches the Rfam family "Bacterial small subunit ribosomal RNA", at positions 32 to 469 of the family's 1533-position model. The record is from RNAcentral. Lineage: Bacteria; Bacillati; Bacillota; Bacilli; Lactobacillales; Streptococcaceae.